AGUGAAUAUAGGACGUCCAACUUAACUUGGAGUCCGAACUCUCACUUUCUAACCCUGUGCACUUGUUUGGGAUAGUAACUCUCGCAAGAGAGCGAACUCCUAUUCACUUAUAAACACAAAGUCUAUGAAUGUAUUAAAUUUUAUAACAAAAUAAAACUUUCAACAACGGAUCUCUUGGCUCUCGCAUCGAUGAAGAACGCAGCGAAAUGCGAUAAGUAAUGUGAAUUGCAGAAUUCAGUGAAUCAUCGAAUCUUUGAACGCACCUUGCGCUCCAUGGUAUUCCGUGGAGCAUGCCUGUUUGAGUGUCAUGAAUACUUCAACCCUCCUCUUUCUUAAUGAUUGAAGAGGUGUUUGGUUUCUGAGCGCUGCUGGCCUUUACGGUCUAGCUCGUUCGUAAUGCAUUAGCAUCCGCAAUCGAACUUCGGAUUGACUUGGCGUAAUAGACUAUUCGCUGAGGAAUUCUAGUCUUCGGAUUAGAGCCGGGUUGGGUUAAAGGAAGCUUCUAAUCAGAAUGUCUACAUUUUAAGAUUAGAUCUCAAAUCAGGUAGGACUACCCGCUGAACUUAAGCAUAUCAAUAAGCGGAGGAAAAGAAACUAACAAGGAUUCCCCUAGUAGCGGCGAGCGAAGCGGGAAGAGCUCAAAUUUAUAAUCUGGCACCUUCGGUGUCCGAGUUGUAAUCUCUAGAAAUGUUUUCCGCGUUGGACCGCACACAAGUCUGUUGGAAUACAGCGGCAUAGUGGUGAGACCCCCGUAUAUGGUGCGGACGCCCAGCGCUUUGUGAUACAUUUUCGAAGAGUCGAGUUGUUUGGGAAUGCAGCUCAAAUUGGGUGGUAAAUUCCAUCUAAAGCUAAAUAUUGGCGAGAGACCGAUAGCGAACAAGUACCGUGAGGGAAAGAUGAAAAGCACUUUGGAAAGAGAGUUAACAGUACGUGAAAUUGUUGGAAGGGAAACGCUUGAAGUCAGACUUGCUUGCCGAGCAAUCGGUUUGCAGGCCAGCAUCAGUUUUCCGGGAUGGAUAAUGGUAGAGAGAAGGUAGCAGUUUCGGCUGUGUUAUAGCUCUCUGCUGGAUACAUCUUGGGGGACUGAGGAACGCAGUGUGCCUUUGGCGGGGGUUUCGACCUCUUCACACU
RNAcentral lists this ribosomal RNA (1131 nucleotides) under Rhodotorula mucilaginosa. RNAcentral describes it as "eukaryotic LSU rRNA". The stretch from base 531 to 1131 matches the Rfam family "Eukaryotic large subunit ribosomal RNA", at positions 1 to 617 of the family's 3401-position model. The record is from RNAcentral. Lineage: Eukaryota; Fungi; Basidiomycota; Microbotryomycetes; Sporidiobolales; Sporidiobolaceae.